AUCCCCUGUAGUCCAUAGCAUAAUGAUUGAGUUUCUACCUCAAGUGUGAGAAUAUUUCAAACUUUGUUACAAUGUCAGCAUGUUACCCAUCUGACA
This is a small nucleolar RNA of Otolemur garnettii (small-eared galago), 96 nucleotides long. NCBI's taxonomy places the organism in Eukaryota, Metazoa, Chordata, Mammalia, Primates, Galagidae. The record is from Ensembl.